GGGGGCGCGGCAGCCCCGUGAGGGGCUCGGCGGGAGAAGCCUCAGCCCCGACCCAGCCGUGACUUUCCGAAGCUGCAGCCGGCGGUGAGAGGAUAUGUGCCGGCCCUAAACCCACGGAGGAGCGUUCUCCGCUGGAACCUCCGCCUUCCCCUGACGCCACCGAGGCAGCUGGAGGUGCGGCCCCCCGCCCCGCCGCUCCGGGGCGAUCCAGGCCGGGUUUCGCGGGCGGUCGGGCCCGGCCGGCGGAGCCGCGCUCCCCGCGGCAGAGCAAUCGCGGCCGGGGCGCGGUGGUGCCUGCGCCGGGCCGCGCUCUGGAGGGGGCAGGGAGCUCCCAGCGGGAGCCGGGAGGGAGGACGGUGUCCUCGGCCCGCGUCCGCCCCGGGAGCGAGCAGCAUUCCGAGUUGGAGCCGGCUCGCCGCGCCGUGCCCGGGGCUGUUCCGCCCCUCCCGCCGCUGCUGGCGGCCGCGGGGCGCGGGCGCUCGGGCUCUUGGCGGAGCGACCCGGAGCCGGUCCCGGGUCCCGCGGGCUAUUCCCGCAUAUUGUUUCCCUGAGAAGUGCCGGGAGGCGGGGGGUGGGAAGGGGGAUCUGUCCGCAGUUGCUCCACGUGCAUCAAUAGUUGUCAGUAACAUCAAACUGACGUCAUCCUCGGGUAAAAAGAUCUCUCUUUUGUUCUCAUUCCCUCCCACCACUUCUCCCCCCCUCUGCCACCCUCCCCCGCCCCCCCGCCCCCCCUCUCGCCUUGAAAAUCAAAAGCCAGAACAUUUGCAAAAAAUAAAAAUAAUAAGAACUCCUCUCCCCCACGUUAAUUGCAAUGCAAAGGGAGAUGUUGCAUUACGGAUCCUGCCUGGGCUGUGCUGGGCUCUAAUGAAUGCGCCGAGCCUUUGAUCUGGGUGAGUCAGUUGGGUUCAGUUGUGCCGGAAGGUUAGUUGCACAUCCUGGCUGAUCUGAAAUUCGAUCAGCAGAGGGGGCAAAGAAAAAGAAAAGCAUUUUAAUGGGAAUCAAUAGAGGAUCAUAGGGUCCUGGAAGGAAAUAGGUGUUGAUUAAAGAUGCUGUGUGGGUUUUGUUGGCUUUUUCUUUUUUUUCUUUUUUUUUUUUUUUCCCCGUGUACACGACUUGUUUAAAAAUAAAUAAACACCAAAAGCAGCCCGGCAGAAACGAGAGAGGGCAGGCUGGAAAACAGCUUUCCCAAUCACCCGUGUGUUUGUGUUCCAGGGAGGCAGUCAGCAGACCGAGAGUUUGUGCAAUGCUUCAAGCUACAGCGCGCAAAUUUAAAGCAGUAGGCUCCAAAGGAUAACUCCGGUUCUUACUGCACUGCAUUUCUGUGCCUGAGCUGUUUACUAGUGCAUUAUGAAAUAAACCCAAAACAUUCCUCUCCCUCUCUCCAAGCCAACUUGUUUCUUCUCCCCUCCCCGCUCUCCCCUCCUUUCCUGCCUGCUGCUGAGCGACAGGGAUUCGUGAUACCCGACACGAAGGGGUAAACCUGUUUUGUUGAGGUCACAGGGUUUUAUAGCUAAACUUUCUAGGCACGUUUUCACCGUUUAGGAAAUACCGAGCUGGAACGUUCUGUGUAUGUUGCCUGACUUUACGUGAAAAAGAGGGAAUUACGAUUGUGUUGAACAUUUUUUCACUCAGAAGGAGGUGUAAUGUGGGUUUUACAAAAGCAACCAUGCUGAGGUGAUUCCCCAGGGGAAGAAAGCAAGAGCCUUCGUUGUCCCAAUGCUGUGUACUUACAGAGCCAUGGACUGCUAUUCCAGUCCCUCCAGUCCACGACCGAGGACGCCAAACUGGUAUUGCCAUACUGGCCGCCUCCCCAGCAAACUUAUAUAUUCCCAUGUUCCUGGGAACCAUUCAGGAGAAGAUGUCAGGAUGUUAGUCCUGGACUGACAGGUCCUCCAGGGCUCUACAGUUACACUCACUCUGGAAUAGAGCAGAAGUUCAUCUUCUGGGGCUACAAGAGAGAGAAUGACUUCUUAAGCAAGAGGAUUUGUGGAAUAUUAUGCAUAAGGAGAGAAGAAAGCUGAGGUGCCUGUCCAAGCCAAAGUCACUUUGCAUCAUUUCGACUCUUCUAGAAAGAUUGUGGUGGAAAGGAAAAUUUCACAUUUCUUCCUCUCACUCACCUCCUUAAAACAGCACAUUAGGGCCUUAUUAAAAAAAAGAGUAUUUAAAAGUCCA
Long non-coding RNA from Pseudopipra pipra, 2172 nucleotides. RefSeq lists it as uncharacterized. The record is from RefSeq and is a predicted model, not a curated record. Lineage: Eukaryota; Metazoa; Chordata; Aves; Passeriformes; Pipridae. The transcript has 6 exons.